Molecule: microRNA, 23 nt
Filed under: Saccoglossus kowalevskii
Lineage: Eukaryota; Metazoa; Hemichordata; Enteropneusta; Harrimaniidae
Description: sko-miR-210-5p
Gene: sko-miR-210-5p
Source: miRBase by way of RNAcentral
AGUUGCCGGAGCAUUGCACAACA